RNAcentral lists this ribosomal RNA (492 nucleotides) under uncultured bacterium. RNAcentral's name for it is "partial 16S ribosomal RNA". It matches the Rfam family "Bacterial small subunit ribosomal RNA", at positions 29 to 507 of the family's 1533-position model. The record is from RNAcentral.
AGUGAACGCUGGCGGUAGGCCUAACACAUGCAAGUCGAACGGCAGCACAGUAAGAGCUUGCUCUUACGGGUGGCGAGUGGCGGACGGGUGAGGAAUACAUCGGAAUCUACUUUUUCGUGGGGGAUAACGUAGGGAAACUUACGCUAAUACCGCAUACGACCUACGGGUGAAAGCAGGGGAUCUUCGGACCUUGCGCGAUUGAAUGAGCCGAUGUCGGAUUAGCUAGUUGGCGGGGUAAAGGCCCACCAAGGCGACGAUCCGUAGCCGGUCUGAGAGGAUGAUCAGCCACACUGGAACUGAGACACGGUCCAGACUCCUACGGGAGGCAGCAGUGGGGAAUAUUGGACAAUGGGCGCAAGCCUGAUCCAGCCAUGCCGCGUGAGUGAAGAAGGCCUUCGGGUUGUAAAGCCCUUUUGUUGGGAAAGAAAAGCAGCAGGUUAAUACCCCGCUGUUCUGACGGUACCCAAAGAAUAAGCACCGGCUAACUUCGUG